RNAcentral lists this transfer RNA (58 nucleotides) under Salmo salar (Atlantic salmon). It matches the Rfam family "tRNA", at positions 8 to 63 of the family's 71-position model. From Rfam's summary of the family: Transfer RNA (tRNA) molecules are approximately 80 nucleotides in length. Their secondary structure includes four short double-helical elements and three loops (D, anti-codon, and T loops). Further hydrogen bonds mediate the characteristic L-shaped molecular structure. tRNAs have two regions of fundamental functional importance: the anti-codon, which is responsible for specific mRNA codon recognition, and the 3' end, to which the tRNAs corresponding amino acid is attached (by aminoacyl-tRNA synthetases). tRNAs cope with the degeneracy of the genetic code in two manners: having more than one tRNA (with a specific anti-codon) for a particular amino acid; and 'wobble' base-pairing, i.e. permitting non-standard base-pairing at the 3rd anti-codon position. Lineage: Eukaryota; Metazoa; Chordata; Actinopteri; Salmoniformes; Salmonidae. The record is from Rfam by way of RNAcentral.
UGGCUCAGUUGGUAGAGGAUGGUGUUUGCAAUGCCAGGGUUGUGGGUUCGAUUCCCAC